RNAcentral lists this ribosomal RNA (1523 nucleotides) under uncultured Azoarcus sp. RNAcentral describes it as "partial 16S ribosomal RNA". It matches the Rfam family "Bacterial small subunit ribosomal RNA". Lineage: Bacteria; Pseudomonadati; Pseudomonadota; Betaproteobacteria; Rhodocyclales; Zoogloeaceae. The record is from RNAcentral.
AACUUAAGAGUUUGAUCCUGGCUCAGAUUGAACGCUGGCGGCAUGCUUUACACAUGCAAGUCGAACGGCAGCGGGGGCUUCGGCCCGCCGGCGAGUGGCGAACGGGUGAGUAAUGCAUCGGAACGUGCCCAGUCAUGGGGGAUAACUACGCGAAAGCGUAGCUAAUACCGCAUACGCCCUGAGGGGGAAAGUGGGGGAUCGCAAGACCUCACGUGAUUGGAGCGGCCGAUGUCAGAUUAGCUAGUUGGUGAGGUAAAGGCUCACCAAGGCGACGAUCUGUAGCGAUGAUCCGCCACACUGGGACUGAGACACGGCCCAGACUCCUACGGGAGGCAGCAGGGGUCUGAGAGUGGGGAAUUUUGGACAAUGGGCGAAAGCCUGAUCCAGCCAUGCCGCGUGAGUGAAGAAGGCCUUCGGGUUGUAAAGCUCUUUCGGACGGAAGCGGGCUAAUAUCCCGCGUGGAUGACGGUACCGUAAGAAGAGAAAUCGCAAGCACCGGCUAACUACGUGCCAGCAGCCGCGGUAAUACGUAGGGUGCGAGCGUUAAUCGGAAUUACUGGGCGUAAAGCGUGCGCAGGCGGUACAGGUGUGAAAUCCCCGGGCUUAACCUGGGAACUUUGUAAGUGCGCUUGUGACUGCAAGGCUAGAGUACGGCAGAGGGGGGUGGAAUUCCACGUGUAGCAGUGAAAUGCGUAGAGAUGUGGAGGUGGCGAAGGCAGCCCCCUGGGCCUGUACUGACGCUCAUGCACGAAAGCGUGGGGAAACACCGAGCAAACAGGAUUAGAUACCCUGGUAGUCCACGCCCUAAACGAUGUCAACUAGUUGUUCGUAGAGGUAACUCUGUGAGUAACGCAGCUAACGCGUGAAGUUGACCGCCUGGGGAGUACGGCCGCAAGGUUAAAACUCAAAGGAAUUGACGGGGACCCGCACAAGCGGUGGAUGAUACGCGAAAAACCUUACCUGUGGAUUCGAAUUAUGCAACCCUUGACAUGCCUGGAACCUUGGUGAGAGCCGAGGGUGCCUUCGGGAACCAGGACACAGGUGCUGCAUGGCUGGCGCAACCCUUUCGUCAGCUCGUGUCGUGAGAUGUUGGGUUAAGUCCCGCAACGAGUCAUUAAUUGCCAUCAUUCAGUUGGGCACUUUAAUGAGACUGCCGGUGACAAACCGGAGGAAGGUGGGGAUGACGUCAAGUCCUCAUGGCCCUUAUGGGUAGGGCUUCAUGGUCGGUACAGAGGGUUGCCACACGUCAUACAAAACCGCGAGGUGGAGCUAAUCCCUUAAAGCCGAUCGUAGUCCGGAUCGUAGUCUGCAACUCGACUGCGUGAAGUCGGAAUCGCUAGUAAUCGCAGAUCAGCAUGCUGCGGUGAAUACGUUCCCGGGUCUUGUACACACCGCCCGUCACACCAUGGGAGUGGGUUUCACCAGAAGUAGGUAGCUUAACCUUCGGGAGGGCGCUUACCACGGUGAGAUUCAUGACUGGGGUGAAGUCGUAACAUCGGAAGGUGCGGCUGGAUCACCUCCUU